Molecule: ribosomal RNA, 433 nt
Filed under: uncultured bacterium
Lineage: Bacteria
Description: bacterial SSU rRNA
Rfam family: Bacterial small subunit ribosomal RNA
Source: RNAcentral
GAUGAACGCUGGCGGCGUGCCUAAGACAUGCAAGUCGAGUGGGUUUAGGCCCACGGCAAACGGGUGAGUAAUAUCUAGGAACAUACCUAUAGUUGAGCAUAACCUACCGAAAGGUAGAGCAAUUCUCAAUGUGACCGCAAGGUUAAAGUCGCAAGACGCUAUAGAAGUGGCCUGGACACCAUCAGCUAGUUGAUAAGGUAAAAGCUUACCAAGGCUAUGACGGUUAGGGGUCCCGAGAGGGAAAACCCCCACACUGGAACUGAGACACGGUCCAGACUCCUACGGGAGGCAGCAGUUUGGAAUUUUGGACAAUGGGCGAAAGCCUGAUCCAGCGACGCCGCGUGGACGAUGAAGGCCUUCGGGUUGUAAAGUCCUUUUGUAUGGGAAGAAUAUUUUGACGGUACCAUGCGAAUAAGAGGUUGCUAACUCUGUG